GAAUUAUAUUUAGAUUAGUGUAUUUAGAUUAUCGUUUAUUUGUUUUUAAUUAGGUAAAAUAAUUUAGUAAAUGAAGGUUUGAAGUUUUUGUUUUGUACGGUUAAGUUUUAUAUUUUAUAUUUGGUAAGAUUUUGGGUGGAAUUUGUGAAAAGUGGUUGGAGAAAUUUUUUGGAAUUAGGAGAGGUUUUUUGGAGGGAAGUAUGUUUUUUGUUUU
RNAcentral lists this unclassified non-coding RNA (214 nucleotides) under Hevea brasiliensis (rubber tree). The record is from RNAcentral. Lineage: Eukaryota; Viridiplantae; Streptophyta; Magnoliopsida; Malpighiales; Euphorbiaceae.